Molecule: long non-coding RNA, 386 nt
Organism: Manis pentadactyla (Chinese pangolin)
Lineage: Eukaryota; Metazoa; Chordata; Mammalia; Pholidota; Manidae
Exons: 3
Source: RefSeq, a predicted model, not a curated record
CGCCCAGGGCGCUCGGCUUCCGCCUCCUGCCGCGGCCGAGUGGGUGGGUGGACAGAGUGAAUGUGUUGGACCAGGUCAUCUGAGAGAUCCGGGAUGGCAGCGGGAUGGGAUGGGAGGUCAAGAAAAUCGUACAGCGCCUCCUCCCCCUUCAUCAGUCCUUCAUCUGAGCUUAUCUGCGGUAAGGUUUCUGCUUUCCCUCAACUCCAGGAUGGGUAGAAGCCGCUGUGGCACUGAACUGACUCACUGGGGAAGCUGGUAAGAUUUGACCUGGCCUGCACUUUGGCUGGAGACAAGACACAGCCUUUCUGACGAUCUCUUUGAGCCUUCAUUUUCCAUCUGGAAAUUCAAGCUAAUCUAUCAGUGCAGGUAGUUGCAGUAAAUAGAGA